GACGAACGCUGGCGGCGUGCUUAACACAUGCAAGUCGAACGGAAAGGCCCUGCUUUUGUGGGGUGCUCGAGUGGCGAACGGAUGAGUAACACGUGAGUAACCUGCCCUUGACUUUGGGAAACUUCAGGAAACUGGGGCUAAUACCGGAUAGGAGCUCCUGCUGCAUGGUGGGGGUUGGAAAGUUUCGGCGGUUGGGGAUGGACUCGCGGCUUAUCAGCUUGUUGGUGGGGUAGUGGCUUACCAAGGCUUUGACGGGUAGCCGGCCUGAGAGGGUGACCGGCCACAUUGGGACUGAGAUACGGCCCAGACUCCUACGGGAGGCAGCAGUGGGGAAUAUUGCACAAUGGGCGGAAGCCUGAUGCAGCAACGCCGCGUGCGGGAUGACGGCCUUCGGGUUGUAAACCGCUUUCGCCUGUGACGAAGCGUGAGUGACGGUAAUGGGUAAAGAAGCACCGGCUAACUACGUG
Molecule: ribosomal RNA, 467 nt
Filed under: uncultured bacterium
Lineage: Bacteria
Description: partial 16S ribosomal RNA
Rfam family: Bacterial small subunit ribosomal RNA
Source: RNAcentral